This 253-nucleotide ribosomal RNA is filed under the name uncultured bacterium. RNAcentral describes it as "partial 16S ribosomal RNA". It matches the Rfam family "Bacterial small subunit ribosomal RNA", at positions 524 to 776 of the family's 1533-position model. The record is from RNAcentral.
UACAGAGGUCUCAACCGUUGUUCGGAUUCAUUGGGCGUAAAGGGUGCGUAGGCGGCUUUGCAAGUCGGAUGUGAAAGCCCUCGGCUCAACCAAGGAAGUGCAUCCGAAACUGCAGGGCUUGAGUACUUAAGAGGAUCGCGGAAUUCCCGGUGUAGAGGUGAAAUUCGUAGAUAUCGGGAGGAACACCAGUGGCGAAGGCGGCGAUCUGGGAAGAUACUGACGCUGAGGUGCGAAAGCGUGGGGAGCAAACAGG